ACGAACGCUGGCGGCGUGCUUAACCCAUGCAAGUCGAACGGAAAGGCCCCUUUGGGGGUACUCGUGUGGCGAACGGGUGAGUAACACGUGAGUAACCUGCCCUUGACUUCGGGUUAACUUCAGGAAACUGGGGCUAAUACCGGAUAGGAAUCCUUGCUGCAUGGUGGGGGUUGGAAAGCUUCGGCGGUUUUGGAUGGACUCGCGGCUUAUCAGCUUGUUGGUGGGGUAGUGGCUUACCAAGGCUUUGACGGGUAGCCGGCCUGAGAGGGCGACCGGCCACAUUGGGACUGAGAUACGGCCCAGACUCCUACGGGAGGCAGCAGUGGGGAAUAUUGCACAAUGGGCGGAAGCCUGAUGCAGCAACGCCGCGUGCGGGAUGACGGCCUUCGGGUUGUAAACCGCUUUCAGCAGGGGCGAAGCUUGUGGUGACGGUACCUGCAGAAGAAGCACCGGCUAACUACGUG
This 464-nucleotide ribosomal RNA is filed under the name uncultured bacterium. Its description in RNAcentral is "partial 16S ribosomal RNA". It matches the Rfam family "Bacterial small subunit ribosomal RNA", at positions 29 to 507 of the family's 1533-position model. The record is from RNAcentral.